RNAcentral lists this ribosomal RNA (1356 nucleotides) under uncultured bacterium. Its description in RNAcentral is "16S ribosomal RNA". It matches the Rfam family "Bacterial small subunit ribosomal RNA", at positions 36 to 1387 of the family's 1533-position model. The record is from RNAcentral.
CUAGCUACAGGCUUAACACAUGCAAGUCGAGGGGCAGCAUGGUCUUAUCUUGCUAAGGCCGAUGGCGACCGGCGCACGGGUGAGUAACACGUAUCCAACCUGCCGUCUACUCUUGGACAGCCUUCUGAAAGGAAGAUUAAUACAAGAUGGCAUCAUGAGUCCGCAUGUUCACAUGAUUAAAGGUAUUCCGGUAGACGAUGGGGAUGCGUUCCAUUUGAUAGUAGGCGGGGUAACGGCCCACCUAGUCUUCGAUGGAUAGGGGUUCUGAGAGGACGGUCCCCCACAUUGGAACUGAGACACGGUCCAAACUCCUACGGGAGGCAGCAGUGAGGAAUAUUGGUCAAUGGGCGAGAGCCUGAACCAGCCAAGUAGCGUGAAGGAUGACUGCCCUAUGGGUUGUAAACUUCUUUUAUAAAGGAAUAAAGUCGGGUAUGCAUACCCGUUUGCAUGUACUUUAUGAAUAAGGAUCGGCUAACUCCGUGCCAGCAGCCGCGGUAAUACGGAGGAUCCGAGCGUUAUCCGGAUUUAUUGGGUUUAAAGGGAGCGUAGAUGGAUGUUUAAGUCAGUUGUGAAAGUUUGCGGCUCAACCGUAAAAUUGCAGUUGAUACUGGAUAUCUUGAGUGCAGUUGAGGCAGGCGGAAUUCGUGGUGUAGCGGUGAAAUGCUUAGAUAUCACGAAGAACUCCGAUUGCGAAGGCAGCCUGCUAAGCUGCAACUGACAUUGAGGCUCGAAAGUGUGGGUAUCAAACAGGAUUAGAUACCCUGGUAGUCCACACGGUAAACGAUGAAUACUCGCUGUUUGCGAUAUACAGCAAGCGGCCAAGCGAAAGCGUUAAGUAUUCCACCUGGGGAGUACGCCGGCAACGGUGAAACUCAAAGGAAUUGACGGGGGCCCGCACAAGCGGAGGAACAUGUGGUUUAAUUCGAUGAUACGCGAGGAACCUUACCCGGGCUUAAAUUGCAGAUGAAUUACGGUGAAAGCCGUAAGCCGCAAGGCAUCUGUGAAGGUGCUGCAUGGUUGUCGUCAGCUCGUGCCGUGAGGUGUCGGCUUAAGUGCCAUAACGAGCGCAACCCUUGUUGUCAGUUACUAACAGGUUCCGCUGAGGACUCUGACAAGACUGCCAUCGUAAGAUGUGAGGAAGGUGGGGAUGACGUCAAAUCAGCACGGCCCUUACGUCCGGGGCUACACACGUGUUACAAUGGGGGGUACAGAGGGCCGCUACCACGCGAGUGGAUGCCAAUCCCAAAAACCUCUCUCAGUUCGGACUGGAGUCUGCAACCCGACUCCACGAAGCUGGAUUCGCUAGUAAUCGCGCAUCAGCCACGGCGCGGUGAAUACGUUCCCGGGCCUUGUACA